UAUUGGUGGGUGCCCAUACUCCUGUGAAUUUGGGAGAAUGUGUGCAUCUGUACAUUUGUUUGGGUUCAUGACUUGUCUUAUUGAGAAAUUCUUCUCAUAUUUGAAUGCAUUUUGCUCUGUCUUCCCACCCAUUGUAUAAAGUAAGCUUUUUCUGGAAAGCAUAAUUUCAGCAUGCAUAUAGAUUGUUGUUAUUACCCAUGCUUUAAUCUAGUAUGUCAUUGCUAGUGAU
This 229-nucleotide unclassified non-coding RNA is filed under the name Hevea brasiliensis (rubber tree). Lineage: Eukaryota; Viridiplantae; Streptophyta; Magnoliopsida; Malpighiales; Euphorbiaceae. The record is from RNAcentral.